AGUGAACGCUGGCGGCAGGCCUAACACAUGCAAGUCGAACGGCAACACAGUAAGCGCUUGCUCUUACGGGUGGCGACUGGCGGACGGGUGAGGCAUACAUCACCAUCCACUUUUUCUUGGGGGACAUCGUAGGGCAGCUGACGCUACCACCGCAUACGUUCUACGGCUGAGAUCAGUGGAUCUUCGCACCUUGCCUGUUACUAUGAGCCGAUGUCGGAUUAGCUAGUUGGCGUGGUAAAGGCCCACCAAGGCAACGAUGCGUAGCUGGUCUGAGAGGGUGAUCAGCCACACUGGAACUGAGACACGGUCCAGACUCCUACGGGAGGCAGCAGUGGGGAAUAUUGGGCAAUGGGCGAAAGCCUGAUCCAGCAAUGCCGCGUGAGUGAAGAAGGCCUUCGGGUUGUAAAGCCCUGUUGUUGGGGAAGAAAAGAAGCGGGUUAAUACCCGGCUGUUCUGACGGUACCCAAAGAGAAAGCACCGGCUAACUUCGUG
This 492-nucleotide ribosomal RNA is filed under the name uncultured bacterium. RNAcentral describes it as "partial 16S ribosomal RNA". It matches the Rfam family "Bacterial small subunit ribosomal RNA", at positions 29 to 507 of the family's 1533-position model. The record is from RNAcentral.